This 957-nucleotide small RNA is filed under the name Pan troglodytes (chimpanzee). RNAcentral describes it as "retained intron". The record is from RNAcentral. Lineage: Eukaryota; Metazoa; Chordata; Mammalia; Primates; Hominidae.
ACCCCUGCCUGGCUUCCCUCUCUCACUCCCCUGCCCCCCACUCCCAGAGGCCUCUGUGUCCAAGAAGAAACGCAUGUGUGUGAAGCUGUUGCCCCUGGGAGCCGCGGACACGGCUGUGUUUGAUGUCCGGCUGAGUGGGAAGACCAAGACAGUGCCUGGAUACCUUCGAAUAGGGGACAUGGGCGGCUUUGCCAUCUGGUGCAAGAAGGCCAAGGCCCCCAGGCCAGUGCCCAAGCCCCGAGGUCUCAGCCGGGACAUGCAGGGCCUCUCUCUGGAUGCAGCCAGCCAGCCAAGGUGAGUCCUCAGGCACCGGAGUGGGGGUGGCCGUUGUGGGAGGAUGAGGCUUAACCUGAGUCAUCCCACCUCCAGUAAGGGCGGCCUCCUGGAGCGGACACCGUCAAGGCUGGGCUCUCGGGCAUCCACUCUGCGGAGGAAUGACUCCAUCUACGAGGCCUCCAGCCUCUAUGGCAUCUCAGCCAUGGAUGGGGUUCCCUUCACACUCCACCCACGAUUUGAGGGCAAGAGCUGCAGCCCCCUGGCCUUCUCUGCUUUUGGGGACCUGACCAUCAAGUCUCUGGCGGACAUUGAGGAGGAGUAUAACUACGGCUUCGUGGUGGAGAAGACCGCGGCUGCCCGCCUGCCCCCCAGCGUCUCAUAGUCCCUCACCCUUCCGCGGAAAGAGCCCCCUUACUCCACCUCCCCGCCAGCCUGGGGCCACCCCCCCUCACUGCAUCCUGGGAACCUUCGCCCUGCAAGGCGUUUGCUAUCUUCAGCCACUGGGCGGAGCUGCAGCCCUGGAGGAGGGGGCGGGUCGAGGCUGCGUGGUGAUGGGGUCUCCGCCUCCACGCCCUGCCGGGCAGGGCUGGAGCUGGACAGAAGCCAGUGCCUUUAAGUCAUUUGUGUCAAAACCCUCUGGGGUCCGGAGGCUGUGCGGGUGUCCUCCUGGCAAUAAACACU